RNAcentral lists this ribosomal RNA (253 nucleotides) under uncultured bacterium. Its description in RNAcentral is "partial 16S ribosomal RNA". It matches the Rfam family "Bacterial small subunit ribosomal RNA", at positions 524 to 776 of the family's 1533-position model. The record is from RNAcentral.
UACGAAGGGGGCUAGCGUUGCUCGGAAUCACUGGGCGUAAAGGGUGCGUAGGCGGGUCUUUAAGUCAGGGGUGAAAUCCUGGAGCUCAACUCCAGAACUGCCUUUGAUACUGAAGAUCUUGAGUUCGGGAGAGGUGAGUGGAACUGCGAGUGUAGAGGUGAAAUUCGUAGAUAUUCGCAAGAACACCAGUGGCGAAGGCGGCUCACUGGCCCGAUACUGACGCUGAGGUGCGAAAGCGCGGGGAGCAAACAGG